GGCUACGGAAACCAGCACGAGGUGCGCGU
Molecule: non-coding RNA, 29 nt
Filed under: Bombyx mori (domestic silkworm)
Lineage: Eukaryota; Metazoa; Arthropoda; Insecta; Lepidoptera; Bombycidae
Source: RNAcentral